RNAcentral lists this ribosomal RNA (504 nucleotides) under uncultured bacterium. Its description in RNAcentral is "bacterial SSU rRNA". It matches the Rfam family "Bacterial small subunit ribosomal RNA", at positions 20 to 518 of the family's 1533-position model. The record is from RNAcentral.
UGGCUCAGGAUGAACGCUGGCGGCGUGCUUAACACAUGCAAGUCGAACGGAGUUUUUAAACGGAAGUUUUCGGAUGGAAGUUUAAGAACGUUAGUGGCGGACGGGUGAGUAACGCGUGGGUAACCUGCCUCAUACAGGGGGAUAACAGUUAGAAAUGACUGCUAACACCGCAUAAUAUAGCGAAACCGCAUGAUUUUUGCUAUCAAAAUAUUUUAUAGGUUAUGAGAUGGGCCCGCGUCUGAUUAGCUAGUUGGUGGGUAAAGCCUACCAAGGCGACGAUCAGUAGCCGGCUUGAGAGAGUGACCGGCCACAUUGGGACUGAGACACGGCCCAAACUCCUACGGGAGGCAGCGAGUGGGGAAUAUUGGACAAGUGGGGGAAACCCUGAUCCAGCGAACCGCCGCGUGAGUGAAGAAGUAUUUCGGUAUGUAAAGCUCUAUCAGCAGGGAAGAUAAUGACAGUACCUGACUAAGAAGCCCCGGCUAACUACGUGCCAGCAGCCGC